GACGAACGCUGGCGGCGUGCUUAACACAUGCAAGUCGAACGGAAAGGCCCUGCUUUUGUGGGGUGCUCGAGUGGCGAACGGGUGAGUAACACGUGAGUAACCUGCCCUUGACUUUGUGAUAACUUCAGGAAACUGGGGCUAAUACCGGCUAGGAGCGCCUGCUGCAUGGUGGGGGUUGGAAAGUUUCGGCGGGUGGGGAUAGACUCGCGGCUUAUCAGCUUGUUGGUGGGGUAGUGGCUUACCAAGGCUUCGACGGGUAGCCGGCCUGAGAGGGUGACCAGGGACCAUGGGACUGAGAUACGGCCCAGACGCCAACGGGAGGCAGCAGUGGGGAGUAUUGCACAAUGGGCGGGAGCCUGAUGAAGAAACGCCGCGUGCGGGAUGACGGCCUUCGGGUUGUAAACCGCUUUCGCCUGUGACGAAGCGUGAGUGACGGUAAUGGGUAAAGAAGCACCGGCUAACUACGUG
This 468-nucleotide ribosomal RNA is filed under the name uncultured bacterium. RNAcentral describes it as "partial 16S ribosomal RNA". It matches the Rfam family "Bacterial small subunit ribosomal RNA", at positions 28 to 507 of the family's 1533-position model. The record is from RNAcentral.